UGAAUUUUCAAGGUUUCAGAUUUGAGUCUAUCAAAAACUAGCCCAACUAACAAACUCCGAGUCAUAUCUUCUUUAUCAUAUAGUUGGUACACUGGAUAUUGUGAUUUACUAUAUUGGGAAACUCACUUCUAGAGGUUGAGGUGCAUGAAUAAGUUUUGGGGCCAAACCGGUUUGGGUUGGGCCAAAGAUGCUUAAAUUGGGUUUUUGUUCAAACUGGUUCGAGUGAAGUCUGUUUUUGAGGGGAAAGAUCGGGUUUGACUAGUUUGAAACCAGGUUUGAACAAAACCUAAUUUGACUAGUUACACCCGAACCAGUUUGGACAAAUUAUAGGGUUACAUAUUUCAACUCUACGGUUAAUUCGGGUUUGGCUGGUUUCAAAGUAUAUUAGUAUAUGAUUACAAACCAAUUUUAACCAGACUGUUCUUUUGAGGUCCAAACCGGGUUCAACCAAACCGGUUUGCAAAUUGGGUUUGGUUUGGGUAUAAAACCGGAUUUGGCAACUACCCUUUAUAUUCUGCAUCAGUUUGAUGUGAUAUUAAUAUGAUUUACAGUUGAAUCAUCUCAUUUUUUGUACUUGGAAACACUAAAAUUUAAUAUAAGAGGUACCAAUUAUAUGGUAAACAAAACCAAUUGUCUUCAUAAAUUGGAAACACUAAAAUUAAAUAUAAGAGGUACCAAUUAUAUGGUAAACAAAACCAAUUUGCCUUCAUAAAACUCUACCCCAAUAAUCUCUAUUUAUACAUCAAUUUGC
This 751-nucleotide long non-coding RNA is filed under the name Helianthus annuus (common sunflower). RNAcentral's name for it is "hypothetical non coding rna". Lineage: Eukaryota; Viridiplantae; Streptophyta; Magnoliopsida; Asterales; Asteraceae. The record is from RNAcentral.